UACGUAGGUGGCAAGCGUUGUCCGGAAUUAUUGGGCGUAAAGCGCGCGCAGGUGGUUUCUUAAGUCUGAUGUGAAAGCCCACGGCUCAACCGUGGAGGGUCAUUGGAAACUGGGGAACUUGAGUGCAGGAGAGAAGAGUGGAAUUCCAGGUGUAGCGGUGAAAUGCGUAGAUAUCUGGAGGAACACCGGUGGCGAAGGCGGCGUUCUGGACUGCAACUGACACUGAGAAACGAAAGCCAGGGUAGCAAACGGG
RNAcentral lists this ribosomal RNA (253 nucleotides) under uncultured bacterium. RNAcentral's name for it is "partial 16S ribosomal RNA". It matches the Rfam family "Bacterial small subunit ribosomal RNA", at positions 524 to 776 of the family's 1533-position model. The record is from RNAcentral.